AAUGAACGUUGGCGGCGUGCUUAACACAUGCAAGUCGAGCGAGAAAGCUCCUUCGGGAGUGAGUAGAGCGGCGGACUGGUGCGUAACACGUAAGAAUCUGCCCAUUAGUGAAGAAUACCCUUGAGAAAUUGAGGUUAAUACUGCAUAUGUUCCUUCGGGAAGAAAGGUGGCUUUAUGCUGCCGCUAGUGGAUGAGCUUGCGCGCUAUUAGCUUGUUGGUGAGGUAAAGGCUCACCAAGGCUUUGAUGGCUAGCCGGCCUGAGAGGGUGUACGGCCACAUUGGAACUGAGAUACGGUCCAGACUCCUACGGGAGGCAGCAGUGAGGAAUAUUGCGCAAUGGGCGAAAGCCUGACGCAGCAACACCGCGUGGGGGAUGAAGGCUCUCGGGUUGUAAACCCCUUUUCUCGGGGAAGAAAAAUGACGGUACCCGGGGAAUAAGCCUUGGCUAACUACGUG
Molecule: ribosomal RNA, 456 nt
Filed under: uncultured bacterium
Lineage: Bacteria
Description: bacterial SSU rRNA
Rfam family: Bacterial small subunit ribosomal RNA
Source: RNAcentral